UGACAUCUGAGUGUCAGUGACUAAGUCAGCAUUUAUUACCCUUUCAUAAUUGCCUUGAGAAAGAUGUGGUGAGCUGGCUUCUGAAACCACUGCUGUCCAUGUGAAGCACCAACAGCAUCCAGGGAACUUUGAGAAGGGAUCUGCCUCAGACUCUCAUCUCCACCUCGGAGGAAGAAUUUUGUUGGCCAUGACUGGAUGCACUGAACCAGAUUAACCACAUGGACACCCAUUGUUUGUGUCAAGGCUUACACAACAUAACAGGCUACAAAGUGAAGUUGAAUGAAAUCGCGGGCAACAGUAUACCCAUACACAAGGAUCUCACUGCUUUCUAUGCUCACUUUGAACAGAAGGUCAGUGAAAUGACAUCACCUCUUCCAAUAGCCUCGAAUGCACCUUGAUCCUUUGCAAUACACCUAUACUCACCCUUGGCACA
Long non-coding RNA from Stegostoma tigrinum, 433 nucleotides. RefSeq lists it as uncharacterized. The transcript is spliced from 3 exons. Lineage: Eukaryota; Metazoa; Chordata; Chondrichthyes; Orectolobiformes; Stegostomatidae. The record is from RefSeq and is a predicted model, not a curated record.